Molecule: long non-coding RNA, 4242 nt
Organism: Cavia porcellus (domestic guinea pig)
Lineage: Eukaryota; Metazoa; Chordata; Mammalia; Rodentia; Caviidae
Exons: 2
Source: RefSeq, a predicted model, not a curated record
UUUUUUUAAUUUGGUCUAUUUGAGUAAGGGUUUCACUAUGCAGUUCAGGCUGGCCUUGAACUUACUUUGUAUCCCAGGCUGAUUUCAACCUCGCUGCAAUCUUACUGCCUCAGCCUCCCCGGUGCUAAGAGUACAGGCCAGUGCCAUCACACCUGGCUAUUUCUAAAUUGCCCAACCUAGCCUGGAACUAGGGAUACUUUUGUCUCCACUGCCUGAGUAGCUAGGAUUAGAGAUGUGGAUCACCGUGGACAGCACGAGGACCUCUCUUACACAGCUGGUUAACAGAGCUACACAGCUCCCCUAUGCUCUCACAGCAUCAGGCCACACGGUCUACUUGCAUGACCCAGCACACAGCUGGCUAGGAAACAGACACUCAUUCGGGAUAGAUCUUAGUUUUGGCUUCCCUGGUACUAGCCAAGAUUUUUGCUCAUGCCCUCGCUGUGCAUGCGUGCCCUAUGUGACUGCUCUCCUGGGUAGGAAGCUGACCCUAGAAACUCCCUACUCCACAGAACUUGCACCCUGGGGUAAGAACUACAGGCGCAGAAACAUGAAAAUCUGUCUCACGGAGGACACUGGGGAAACUGGAGACGGAGGCCUAGACAAGCAAAGGAGAAAGCUUCCGGACUUCUUCGGUAACUUCCGGACGUACUUCGGCAAUGCCGAGGAUCUCGACAACUUCCGAGCUGGUGCCAUUUUGACUGAGGGCAGAAGCCAAAAAGGGAUGGAACGUGAAAGCGGACGGUGAUUGGUUCUCAGCGCCGCGGUUUGAGCGUGGGUGGGCCCAAUGCAGUGGGAGGCCUGGGAACGUUUCAGGAUUGGGACAAGAGCCUGUCGGGAAGGCGGGGCCUGGGCGGGCUCGGUGGGCGUGGCAAGGACGUCACUAGAGUUUGAUUGAGUCUUGGGGACUUAGGGCUGUGGCUCUCCCACGUGACCGCGCACCACUUUAUUUAUUUAAAGUUGUAACAACCCUGGAGUUCGGAAAAUGGAAAGAAAAAAAGCUCACCCCGCAAUGCCAUAUUCUAAAGCUACAGUAAUUUUGUAUGUAUUCUUUGGCAUCUUUUCUUUUGCAUAUGUAGUACAAUUGUGACUUUCACAUUGCUGGAUUUUUUCCAAAAAAUGCAAGAAGGAAGGCGAAGGGGAGAGGGUAAGGAAGGGAGAGAAAUUUGAGAUUUUUAAAAUUUUUUGUUUAAUUUUAUUUUAUUUGCCAUUUUGAAAGAGUCUUCCUAUGCAGUUCAGGCUGGCCUUUGUAUCCCAGGCUGGUCUCGAACUCGCAACGAUCUUUCUGCCUUGGCCCGUCAAGAGCUAGGAUUACAAGCCACCACCUUGCCCCGCUGAGAUUGAUUUAGAGAAAAAAGACAAAAGGAGGGAGUCCGAGUGUAGGUCACUGGUAAAGCUUGGCCCACAUGCUAAGAAGCCCUGGGUUCCACCCUCCACCCUCCAAAAGAAGGAGCAGAGCUCAAGAGAUCAAGAAACCCUUUGUGGUAUUGUUCACCUGACACACCCAAUAAAUAUUUGAGAAUAGAUGGGUGACAGAAAUGAGAGACUGGGCCAGGACUGUAGCUUAGCCGCUAAGCAUUGCCUGGCAAGCACAAGGUCAUGAGUUCGAUCUUCUGUUUAAAAAAAAAAAAAAUUCCCACCCAGGACGUGUCAGUUACAGAAAUGAGGAAGUGUGAUGGCUCAAACGUGGCUUCUUUCUGCCUCUGGAAACUUGCCGUAAGCAACAGCUGUGGGAGUUUUCUGCUCCCAGUGAAAAGACUAAGAUGAGCAGCUGGGCCCUCCGCACCAUCUUCAUCCCUUCCCCGUAACUGGGAAGGAUUAUCAUCUUUCCCAUGAGUCCAAGGUGCUAAGUGCUUCGAGAAUUCAUGCUGGUUUAUUUUAAGACAAGAAACCCUGGGGAGAGAGACAGCAUUUCUGAGGUGAAGGGGAAAUGUGCUUGUUUUUCCUGGAGUUUUUGGGGAGCAGUUUGGUUUUGGUUUUGGUUUUAACAACACAGAAAUUUUACAAAUUUUGAGCAAAAAAGGAGUUUUAUCUAAAAAUUAUUUCAGAAAAUAGAAAAAAAGAGGGAAAGCCAGUCAAGCAUGGUGGCAUAUACCUAUAAUCCCAACAAUUCAAAGGCUGAGUCAGGAAGAUUAUUGUGAGUUUGAGACCAGCCUGGGUUGCAAUGUAAGCUGAAGGCCAGUCUGAACUACAUAGAGAGACUCUUUCAAACCCUAACCAACAUGAAACUAAGGUGUUUGCUUUGUCUCCCCUCCCUUUUUUUUUUUUUUUUGGUGCUGGGUUGGAACUCACAACGUUGUGUUUGCCAAGUAGACGUUUACACUGCUGAGCUAAACCCCCAGGCCUGUCUUCUGAGACAAGGUCUUGCCAUUCAGUUCAGGCUGCUCUUGAGCUCACUUUGUAACCCAGGCUGGUCUCAAACUCGCAACAACCCUCCUGCCUCAGCCUCCCGAAAGCUAGGGUAACAGGUGUGCACUACCACACCCAGCUUUGGUUUGUCUUUUUGAGACAGUUUCACUAUACAAUUCAGACUGGCUUUGAACUCACUCUGUAGCCCAGGCUGGCCUUGCAAUCACCAUGAUCUUCCUGCCUCAGCCUCUCGUGUCUGUCACCAUGCUUGGUUUGUUUUGGAGACAAGGUCUCGCCAUAUAGUUCAAGCUGGCCUUGCAUCACACUGUAGUCCAGGCUGGCCUUAACUAAAUUGGUAAAGUGAUCCUCUUGCCUCACCCUCUUGGGUGCCCGGGUUACCUGCAUGUGCCACCACUCCUGAUAAGAUUGGUUUAAUCUUGAUUCCUGAGCCAGAUAAGCACAAGGCAAAAGAAGUAUGUACCACUUUUACUAACAAAUAUAGGUAUGAAAUAGUAAGCUAGGGGUUGAAGGUGUAGUUCAAUGGUUACGAUUUACCUAGCUGGUGGGAGCUUCUGAGUUGGAUCUUCACCAGAAAGAAAGAAAAAGAAAAAACUAAAUCCACUAGUUUAUAUAAAAAUGCAGUCUCCACAUUGCUAUGGAUUUUGCAUCUUCCAAAACUGAAACUCUACUCGUUAAAAAACUCUCCACUGGGGCUGGGGAUUUAGCUCAGCGGCAUAAGCGCCUGCCUUGCAAGCAGGCAGUCGUGGGUUCGAUCCCUGGUACCGAUAAAAAGGAAAAAGACAAAAAAAAAAUUGCAGAAAAAACUCUCCUCUGCCCCCCACCAUUCUUUGUUUCCAUGAAGUGAUUAUUCAGUUUCUUCCUGUGUCUGAUGUUUCUCUGAGCAUAUUAGUGUAUGUGGCAGUUAAUCCUAAUGUCGACUUCAUUGGCGUAAGAAAUGCCUUGCAGGUCGGUACAGUGCACGCCAGGUUAUGUGUCUACGUGGGUCAUGGAGGUGUGACCCUACGUACUAUACACAGUCCUCACCUGUUCCCCUCUGCCACUGUUCCCCUGCUCUGCUUUGCAGCCCACAGAAGCUAAGUAGCUUUACCCCACCAUACCCUUCUGACAUAGGGAUUAUAUAGGACCUCCAAAUAAGGAAAGGAAAGGGCCGGGGAUUUAGCUCAGUGGAAUAAGUGCUUGCCUGGCAAACAUGAGGUCUUGAGUUUGAUCCCUGGUACCUAAUAAUAAUAAUAAUAAUAAGGGACGGGAAGUAUAACUCCCAACCGGCUAGAUAUCUGGUACUCCAAGUUAGUGUUCUCUAAAACUGAAGAAUGAAUUCUAGGAAUAACAGAGGUUAAGAAGAAAAAAUGUUUACUAGAAGAAAGAAAGCUAUCUAAGAGAAGGGAUCCCAAGUGGCUUGCAGGGAUCCUGGUUCUUAAUGGGAUUUUCAAGCAAAACCAGGAAUUGAUGUGGUUUCUGGGACAAAACUAUGGUCAACCAAUAAGCUCACAAGUAUAAUGGCUACUUCCAAAUCUGUUAUACAGAUUCAGUGCGAUCUCAAUCAAACUUCCAAUAGCAUAUCUCACAAAAUUAGAGAAAACAAUCCUAAUACCAUUUGGAACCAGAAGAGACCUAGAAUAGCAAAGGCAAUCCUGAGCAACAAAGACAAAACAGGGGCAUCACAAUCCCUGACUUGAAAUUAUACUAUAAAGCUACUGUGAUAAAAACAGUGUGGUACUGGGAAAAAAAACAGACCCCAAGAUCAGUGAAACAUAUUAUAAGAUGCAGAAACCUCUGCAGACAUAACCUUUGACAAAGGUGCCAAACACCUUCACUGAAAGAAAGAUAUCCUCUUUAAUAAAUGAUGCUGGGAAAACUGGCUCUAUAUCUGCCAAA